UCAGUAGGGGGUAUAGCUCAGUGGUAGAGCGCUCGCUUAGCAUGAGAGAGGGCUGGGGUUCAAUUCCCCAUACCAGAA
RNAcentral lists this transfer RNA (78 nucleotides) under Pristionchus pacificus. RNAcentral describes it as "tRNA-Ala (AGC) (tRNA-Ala-AGC-13-1)". The stretch from base 10 to 74 matches the Rfam family "tRNA". From Rfam's summary of the family: Transfer RNA (tRNA) molecules are approximately 80 nucleotides in length. Their secondary structure includes four short double-helical elements and three loops (D, anti-codon, and T loops). Lineage: Eukaryota; Metazoa; Nematoda; Chromadorea; Rhabditida; Neodiplogasteridae. The record is from RNAcentral.